CCCACUGCUGGGUACUUAAGCUGUAGAAAGUCAGAGGCCUGUCCCUAGUUCUGCUGGAGUGGAGCUGAGAGAGGCUCUUGGGAGCUGCCUGCGUGGGCAGAGUUUGAAGGCUUAGGAUAUCUCCUGAAGGCCGGAUGGGCCAGUAGAGAUUAACGAGGCUUGAGCUGUCUUGAAAGAUGGCUGCCCUGAGAACUGGCUAGAAGAGGAGACCAAGGAGGCUGUGUGGGUCACCCUUGCAUUGGAGAUGAGGGGAGUCGUGAGAGAUCAGUGGGGAGCCCAUUGCCCUGUUGGGGAACUGCCUGGUGGAGCUUUCCCAGGGAUAUUUUAAAGAACCUACAUGGGAGAAAGCCUGCAUUUGGACAUCUUCCAGGCCAUUCAAUAGCCAAAGAGAACCACCAACAGCUUGAAUCAAAAAAAAGUGGGUCACUGACAAGAAAAUUCACCUGGAGGCCAAAUUGUCUCUAAUAACAAGUCCAAGACAUGCAUUCCAGCUGGAAUCCUCUUCCCGGAUGGUUGUGUGUUUUUAAUUGCAGUAGCCAUCUCCAAAAAUGCCAUCCAGUAACCAUGCCCUUGUGUGCUGCCCUUUCCAUGAAUCUGAGCUAGCCCCAUAAUUUGCUUUUGGCCAUUGGAUGGUGGUGGAAGUGAUGCUGUGUGACUUUUGAAGCUGAGUUACAAGCAGCCUUGGACAGUCUUUCUAGACCUCGUGGAGGGCUCACUCUGGGGGAAGCCAACCAGCAUGUAAGGAGCAUAACUGCCCUGAGACCGCCGUGUUGUUAGGAUGCCCAGCUAGCUAUGUGGAGAAGCUGCAUAGACUGAGGGAGAAGCCCAGCUAGUCCCCAGUUAUUCCUGCCACCCUAACUGAGGCACCAGACCCAUGAGCAAAGAAACCAUCAUGGAUGUCCUGUCCCAUCCAGCUUCUGUGACUGUAACUGUAUGAGGACCCCAAUGAAAACCACACAGCUGAGCCUAGUCAACACACAGAGCUAUGGAAGAUAAUAGUAAAUUGUUGCUUUAAGCCACUUGGUGUUUAUUCAUUUGUUUGGAGGGGGUCGGGGGCAGAGAGAUUAUGCAGCAGUCGAAAACCAGAACACUUGCAUAAAUCUCUAUGAAGCUGGACAUCUCUCUAGACCUGAAGAAGCUCCAGAAUGCCCUGAGCCUGGCAUGACUACAGGGCCACUCUAUUCCCCCGCUGGAAUGAUCCAGAGUGCCAGGAAAACAGGCCCUUCACACAAGGCCCUGAGUCUGUUUCCUGGUUCCUCCAUGACUAGCUGCAAAACUUUAGACAAGCCAGUGCUCUCUCAGCCUGAAUUUUCCCAUCUGCAAAGUUAGGCAAUAGAGUCAAUGGAUCAUCAAAGAUUCUUCUGCUUCUCUGCCUCAUGAAAUAUCACUCUGUGCCUAAGAGAUGAACACACCACCUAGAAUUCCCCCUCUAGGCGUGCCCUUUCUCGGUUCACUCACAUGAUAGGCAUAAAGGCACAAGGAGAAAGGAGCUCAUCUGCGCUGUUUCUGGGCUUCAGGAAUCUCCAGUCACCAAGUGAGGCUGUGGGAGGGCCAGACAUGCCAGCCAGUACCCAGGUUCCCAGCUCCAUGCCCCUCCUCAGCCUCCCUUGAGUUUUUCAGUGCUAAAGAGGGAGCACCUGCUCCAAGGCCCAGGUAGUUCUGGAAUCCCAGCUCUACCUGAGAAGAGGAAGUUCCUGCCUGCCAAAGAAGAGGGGCCUCCUGAGAGGAGUAGGCUUCUCGGUGGCUGCAAAGCGUCUGGUGACAAUAUUUGUGUCUAAAAAUACAGCAGCUGAGAACCAGCUAAUUGCAGCCUCUGGAGUCAUUCAUAGCUCAGCGUUUCACACCACACUUGCACCUCUUCCAGUGUUUCUCAGGAGCUGCCACGAAGGAGGCCACUUAUGGGUGGAAACCCAGCCAGGAGGGCCCAGGAUUGGGCCUAAGGUCCAGGGCAUCCUUUCACCCAAGAGCCCAGCCUGGUACCAGUAUGUAGCUGGCACCUAGGAAUAGAGCAAAGAGAGCAAGUUUCUCAAGUCAGCUGAAUCCCCCCCCCUCUACUCAGAUGCCCUUGGCCACUUGCCCAUCAGGAUCCAUUCAGACCUGUUGGGGCCCCUCAAAAGGCAAUGGCCCAGGUAUAACUUCAUGAGUGAGAUGUACUCGAAGAGAUGCACAAGGUCCAGGAAUUACCUUGCUGGAGACGGCCUUCUGUCCUGGACCUGCAGCCGGCAGGGUGCUAACCUUUGAGCUAGGACCUCUGCUGGACUGGGUCAUGGGCUAAGCAGGGGUUGGGACCCCAUAGCUCCCUGCUGUGGAUCCUCCUUUCUUUCAGAGCUUCUCAGAUGGCUCCUGUCUCGUCUACCAGGAUAAAGGGCAUGACUCAAGGUCACAGGAUGUGACGAUCUGAGAACUUCAGCCACAGCCUCUCUGGUGCCCCACACUGCCUGAACACACAGUGGACGAAGGUCAUGGCAAAAGUAGAAGGAACCCUGCGUGGGGAAUGUGUUUGCCUCAGGCUUUAGGAGAAGGAAUUUUUUUUUUCUUAAUCAGGGAGGCAUUUUAAAAGCACAAAGCCAAACUAACAUUUGUGUAGUAUUUUUCACUUGGCAAAAUGCUGUCACACACCUAGUGCUAGGUGGUUCCCAUGUUAAUUAGAUGAGGUGGUUAUUAUUAUGGCGUCCACUUUAUGGGUAAUUAAACUGAGGAUCAGAGGGGCUGAGUCAUUUCCCCAGGGUCACCAAAGUCAUGACCAGCCUUGAACUCAAGUCAGGAGCCCUCCUGCUGGGUCAGCAGGCCCAGCACCGCCUCCUGGCCCAGCUUAGAAGCUUGACUAGUCAGCCCCAUUGGGGUCCCAGAUUACAGAAAUGCCACACUCCGGCCACACAGCCCUGAAUCCAACCUAAAUCCAGCUCCAUCAACUUCCCCCUAUCUGCGAAAUUCAUUUGAAUCCCACUCUGAAUCUGGAUCCAUUAACCUUUGACCUAUGAGAAAUGAGUCAGAGCCUAAGAAAAAGCGGGCACCUAGAGAAAGCAGGGAGCAAAAAACAGAGUUUCUGAGAGCAGGGGCCCUCUGCUUGAUGGUCAGCUCCUCCCCUGGCACCUGGGCCAGGUCAGCCGAUGCUCUGUGUGGCCAAGAGAGGGCCAGACCUGGCCUCUGGCUGUGAGUGGCUGGGACGGCGAGCAAGACCCAGCUACAUAUCUGUCUUCAGCCCCUGCAACUGGGAGAGCAGCAACUCAGAGAUCAGCCGUUUCACCCUUCUUCCUAAUCACCGCGGGCGUGAUGGAACACCUUGACAUUCUUUAACGAAAGUUCAACUCCACUGCCACUCGGGGCGCUGCAUGAGGAAUGAGGUUUAUGUUGAAUCCCAGAAUCACAGAAAUUAGAGAUGAAAAAGGACGCUGAGGUCAGAGGCAGCCCAUCCCCAUGGGGCCAAGUGCACGUUCUUCUCGGUAAUAGACUUUCCCUUUAUUCCUCCAGUCCAGGUGGCUGCCUCCCUGAAGACCAUUCUCCACUGUUUCUUGGAGAAGACACUGUUGAUAGAAAUGAGAAGUCUGUGCUGAUCCCUGCAUGAUUUGCUUUGAAAUUUAUUAAUCAUCCAAAAGCUGGUGAAGAGGGGAAAAAAGAGAAUGUAAACUCAUCUGGUAGCCAGCGUGCCUGAGUGCGAAGAAGGAGGAGAGCCAGAACCCUCUGGGUUUCCAGCUUGCUAUAGCUCUAGGGCAGCAUGGGACAGUGUAGACUGAUCACUGACUUGCUAUGUAACCUGGCAAAAUUUUGACUUCCCUGAGCCUCAGUUUUCUCAUCUGCAAAAUGGGAGCUCAUGAUGCCUAUGCACAGGGCUGUUGGAAGAUUAGAGUUAACAAAGGUUUAGCACCUCAUAUUGUGCCUGACCCAUGUGAAUUACUCCGUAAAUGGUAACGAUUAUUACUAACAUUACUUUAUGACUCUCCCCUCUCCAGAUCCGUGUCCCUGUCUGUAACACAGGGCUAAGCAAGUUCUUCAGCUAUUGGGCUUCAUCCACUCAACAUUCCACUGGCACUUCCAGAGCUGCCACCACACUUCAGACUCCCAAGGCUAACAAUGACCAAGAAAGACAGAUUCUCUGACGUCAUGGAACUUACUGUCUUUAUGAAUUUCCAGGGAGAAGGGUGCUAAGAUGCUAACAUGGAUACUAACCAUCUGAUGCAAUAUUCUGCUGCACAGAUUGUGACCUAUGACUCACUGGGACAUGAUAGAGGUCACAGAAAUGCCAAUGACAUCCCAAAGACAGUGUGGGAGUGUGUUGUCUAGCUUCUUAGCAAACCCCACCCCCACGGUGGCAUGACCCCUGCACCAUCUUCUCCCACCCUGGGAUCUCCUUCCUACCCCUCUGCCCAUGUCAAUCUGGAAGGUACUUUUAUACACACACACACACACUCCUAAUAGCAUCUAAAUCAGUCACUCUCAACCUUGGCUGUGCAUUAGUGGUGCUUACCUAUGACAGGGCUAGGCCCAGGCCACACCCAAAUCCAUUAAAGCAGAGCGUCUGGGGUGGGACCCAAGCAUCAGAGUUAUUGGCAUCUUCCCAGCUCGAGAACCAGUGCUCUAAGCGGAUGUGGUCGUCGGGGGAAAGGCAAGGACCUCUGGUCUUUACAAUCUUCUUGAUAUCACUGAAUAACCUCAGUUUCUCUGUCUGGGCAAGGAGGGUACUAAUACCUCCCUCUCCAGGCCAUGAUGAAGGUAAAACAAUAUUCUGAAAGAACCUCAGGAAUCCUGCCCAGAUGAGAGGCACUGGCCCUGUGGCCUCUGGGCAGAUUCACUGGAGAAAGUGGUGGGUGUGAUGGUUUCCCUGGGGGCCAACACUGAGACUUCCCAGUGUUUGCUCUACCAGGGUGAGCAUCACUGUGGUGAAUGUCCCUUGCAGAGCUCACAUCUGUUGCACCAGGAUACUUCCCCUGAAG
This 4931-nucleotide long non-coding RNA is filed under the name Homo sapiens (human). RNAcentral describes it as "HSALNT0182141". Lineage: Eukaryota; Metazoa; Chordata; Mammalia; Primates; Hominidae. The record is from RNAcentral.